ACCCAACUUUUUAGCCCAAGACGCCUUGCUUAGCCACACCCCCAAGGGACCUCAGCAGUAGUAAAUAUUAAGCCAUAAGUGAAAACUUGACUUAGUUAAGGUUUUUAGGGCCGGUAAAACUCGUGCCAGCCACCGCGGUUAUACGAGAGACCCAAGUUGACAGCCCAACGGCGUAAAGCGUGGUUAAGUACCCCCCCCCCAACUAGGGCCAAACACCCUCAAAGCCGUUAUACGCACAUGAGGGCUUGAAGAUCUCCUACAAAAGUGACCCUAAACCCUACUGAACCCACGAAAGCUACAAAACAAACUGGGAUUAGAUACCCCACUAUGUGUAGCCGUAAACCUUGAUGGUAACCUGUACCCUUCCAUCCGCCUGGGAACUACGAGCGCUAGCUUAAAACCCAAAGGACUUGGCGGUGCUUUAGACCCCCCUAGAGGAGCC
Molecule: ribosomal RNA, 442 nt
Filed under: Zenopsis nebulosus (mirror dory)
Lineage: Eukaryota; Metazoa; Chordata; Actinopteri; Zeiformes; Zeidae
Description: partial 12S rRNA
Rfam family: Bacterial small subunit ribosomal RNA
Source: RNAcentral